RNA transcript from Hyla sarda, 3217 nucleotides. RefSeq lists it as uncharacterized. The record is from RefSeq and is a predicted model, not a curated record. Lineage: Eukaryota; Metazoa; Chordata; Amphibia; Anura; Hylidae. The transcript has 2 exons.
UGCUUGGGGCCCCCAAAUUCCUUCAAACUGCCCUGCCCCCACAUCAGGUGCGGACACAGACAGCAGAGGGCCCCUGUGCAUAUGUCAAUUUUUCAGGACCAUCCCCCCACCCAUAUCAGUUGCUCAGGAGGACCCCCCUUAAUGUCAGUUGUUAAUUAAUAAAGGGUUACUCUGGUGGAAAACUUUUUUUUUUCUUAAUCAACUGGUGCCAAAAAGUUAAACAGAUUUGUAAAUUUCUUUUAUUAACAUUUUUUAAUCCUUCCAGUACUUACUAGCUGCUGAAUACUACAGUGGAAAUUCUUUUUGGAACACAGAGCUCUCUGCUGACAUCAUGACCACAGUGCUCUAUGCUGACAUCUCUGUCCAUUUUAGGAACUGCAGAAAAUGUAGAAAACUGCUGCGGUGGCGCUUCCAAGGAAUUAACCCAAAGUCGUGGGUAUAGGUAUAAAGAGGUUGCUGUGUGGCCAGGUGACAGGUGUGGGAAUUUUAAUACAGGAAAAAAAUGGCGCCAAACCAGGUGAGCUGGUGACGUCAUGUGGGAUGGAUGCCGGGGCCAGGUGUGGACUGGGCAAGAGAGACCUACAUAGUACAACAUUUUCAAUAAAAGAGCAUGAAAACCACGUAAAACAUGAAAAAAUGCAUAGGUAUAGUCUUUUACAGGAAUAUUUAGAAGUUCAAAUAGAACCGCGAGAAAUGUCCGUAGUAGCAACCAAUCAGAGAGUUUGCUGGUGUCCGAGGGACCAAUCAGGAGGCAAUGGGUGGAGGCUGUCAUCGCUGUUCUGGGUUGCCGCGGCCGGUAUUUGAAUGGAGACGAGCCUCUUAAAGCUGAUUGGUCGCUUGCUGUGGGAUAGUGUAAAAGCGACCAAUCAGGAUCAUGCCGUACAUGACUGAGUAUAGUUACGCUGUCAUAGGUGAAAGUCCGUGUGGAGAUGUCGUCCAAAGAUGGGCAUGGGGAUAGAGGGCUAGAUUCUAAUUGGCUGUCCGUGAUAUCGAGUGAGCCAAUCAGAGGGGGGACGUAUAAGUCCGGGUUCCAGGUUGCUGCCGCUGGUGGCAGUAAAGUGUCUUUCAAAAAUGUCAGCCAAUCGCUGCUGGGGUCGUCUGGGCGGUGGCCAAUCAGAGAUGAGACGUAUAUAUCCUCUCCGGAAGAUUCCUAGAGGCAUCGGCGGCAAUUCUUUUUUGAACAGUACGACCAAUCACUGCUGGGCAGGUCCGGGCGGUGACAAAUCGUGAAGAAGGAGGUGUUUUGGCGACCAAUCAUGAAGAAGGAGGUCUUUGAACGCUGUCAGGGUGCCGGUAUCAGGCUUGAACUUGGUGGUCAUCGGGUCCGGAUAUCGCUUGGAAUUUUUCCUGGAAAGGCUGCGAUUUACUUGUUGCUUGCAUGAUUUUCUUGCUUGUUGGUAUAAUACAUUUCUGUGCAGCAAUGUGCUGCAAAACCGAUGGGCUAGCUGAUCAGACUGGAGGAAGUUCUUAGGCCUCAUUUGAAUGGACAGCCUAAGAGGCCAUGUUCACCCAAUGGAAUUUCUGAGCAGAAUCAAGUGAAAAAUUUUGCUAAAAAAUUCUGUUGGAGCAGAGUCCCAUUGGUUUUCAAUGGUAGAGUUCUGGGAGGGAAAAUUUAGGGAUUAGAAUGAGUGCUGCUGCUGGAUACACACAAGAAUGCUAGGGCACCACGGUUGCACAGGACAUAUAGAUUUAUUCAAGAAUUGGAAUUGGACAACACAUUUCGGUGCUCACACGUGCCCUCCUCGGGUCCAACAAAAAUCACAGAAUGGCAGGGGAUCAUCAGGUACAUGGACUUCCACCAGUGCUGAGGUUGCAGAAAUCCAAAAGAAAAAGUAGUCCAGUGCAACUCCUAUGUGGAUACAACUUUCUUGACUAUUGCAUCCAUUAAAACAGGUACAUUACAGGAAACACACACAAGCUAUGGUCAGCUUAACGCAUUUCAUGAUUGCCCACUUUAUUACAAACCUUUUUGACAGAGUGGACUGCCAAGUCCAGGGUACAGAAGCCACUCUUUCCCUCCGGCUGAGAAGAGUAACGAGAGAGCACAAUUUGAGGGCCAUUAGCGUGUUGGAGUCACAGGGAUGGGUUGAGCAGUGUCUGUGAUGUCGGAGGUGGCUCUAGCACUUCCCAGAAUAGAGCAGGCUGACAAAAUUCUAGGCGUUACCACAAAAUUUUCAGUCACCUUGAUGACCUGACCCCUGGGAUAUGUCGAGCCUUGAUCUAUACAACUAUUAAAUUAUGUUUAUAGGAGCAGCUUCACCUUCAUUCUCUUUAUUUACACCAGCCAUUAAUCAGUUAGAUUUCAAAAGCUAUCAAGCGAGUGUGCGUGAAAAUCACUAAAUGUAAAGAGGUUAAGUGACUGAACGACUGGCGAUAAAAUGCUAAUGACUGUGAAUAACUGUGAAUCUACAAUAAUUUCACAUGCCUUGACACACUCAGGGCCGGUUUUAGACUAAGUGUGGCCCUGGGCAAAAUAAGAAAUGGGGCCCAUGGGUCACAUGACCAAAGAUUACCAUGUUGAAUUGUGCGGCAUCUCAGCUUAAGGCCAUAACACAAAUGCAUGAUAGGGUCCAAAUCAAAGCUAUAUAGGGGGAGAUUUAUGAAAACUUGUGUAGAGGAUCAGUGGUAGAAUUGCCCAUAGUAACCAAUCAGAUGCCUUUUUAAAAAUGAGAGCAGUGAUCAGCUCGUCUCGUAGGCUGCAGUAUACCAGUGAUCAGCUCAUAGGCCGCAGUAUACCAGUGAUCAGCUCGUAGGCUGUGCUGAUGGUUAUUGACUUAUUUUUAUGCGACAGUUGCGCUUUAACCAUUAAAAUAAAUCAGACCCUAAAACACUCUUUUAUUGUGGCCAUGUUAGAACAGCUCUCACCUGAUCAGAAGCAGUCACAGCACACAGGACUAUUAAAUCCAGUGACCACAGGGGGCGUCUUCUCUGAUUGUAUAUGUUCUCUUCUCCAUCCAGCCCAGGCAAUUAUGAUGAUGUCUCCUGAUGACUGAAGACUAUACCAAGACAUCUGUGGCCCCUUCUGCAGUCUACCCAAAACUCUAUAGUAACACAACCCCCAUCCUUUACACUGCAAUCCUGCUUCGCUAAUGCUGUGCUUGCUGCUAUCCAUUGCCAUGUCUACAGCAUACCUAGGGUACAGUGUAAAAAUCUAAUCAGUAGGAUCCAACCACUGGAACCCCUGGGUGAUUGGAGCAGCAGCACAUGAUCACCUGCA